RNAcentral lists this ribosomal RNA (499 nucleotides) under uncultured bacterium. RNAcentral describes it as "partial 16S ribosomal RNA". It matches the Rfam family "Bacterial small subunit ribosomal RNA", at positions 28 to 507 of the family's 1533-position model. The record is from RNAcentral.
GACGAACGCUGGCGGCGUGCUUAACACAUGCAAGUCGAACGGGCCCGCCCCUGUUUUUGGGGGUGGGUUGAGUGGCGAACGGGUGAGUAUCACGUGAGUAACCUGCCCCCUGCUCCUGGAUAACUGCUUGAAAGGGCGGCUAAUACGGGGUGUGCCGGCUGGUCCGCAUGGGCCUGGUCGGGAUAGUUUCAUCUUCGGGUGUUUCGGUGGGGGAUGGGCUCGCGGCCUAUCAGCUUGUUGGUGGGGUGAUGGCCCACCAAGGCGGUGACGGGUAGCCGGCCUGAGAGGGUGGGCGGCCACACUGGGACUGAGACACGGCCCAGACUCCUGCGGGAGGCAGCAGUGGGGGGUAUUGCGCAAUGGGCGGAAGCCUGAUGCAGCGACGGCGCGUGAGGGAUGGAGGCCUUCGGGUUGUGAACCUCUUUCUCCGGUGGUGAAGGCCCUGUCCGUUGCGGCGGGGUUGACGGUAGCCGGGUAUGAAGCGCCGGCUAACAACGUG